GACGAACGCUGGCGGCGUGCUUAACACAUGCAAGUCGAACGGAAAGGCCCUGCUUUUGUGGGGUGCUCGAGUGGCGAACGGGUGAGUAACACGUGAGUAACCUGCCCUUGACUUUGGGAUAACUUCAGGAAACUGGGGCUAAUACCGGAUAGGAGCUCCUGCUGCAUGGUGGGGGUUGGAAAGUUUCGGCGGUUGGGGAUGGACCCGCGGCUUAUCAGCUUGUUGGUGGGGUAAUGGCUUACCAAGGCUUUGACGGGUAGCCGGCCUGAGAGGGUGACCGGCCACAUUGGGACUGAGAUACGGCCCAGACUCCUACGGGAGGCAGCAGUGGGGAAUAUUGCACAAUGGGCGGAAGCCUGAUGCAGCAACGCCGCGUGCGGGAUGACGGCCUUCGGGUUGUAAACCGCUUUCGCCUGUGACGAAGCGUGAGUGACGGUAAUGGGUAAAGAAGCACCGGCUAACUACGU
Molecule: ribosomal RNA, 467 nt
Filed under: uncultured bacterium
Lineage: Bacteria
Description: partial 16S ribosomal RNA
Rfam family: Bacterial small subunit ribosomal RNA
Source: RNAcentral